GUGCUCGCUUCGGCAGCACAUAUACUAAAAUUGGAACUAUAUAGAGAAAGAUUAGCAUGGUCUCUGUACAAGGAUGACACGCAAAUUUGUGAAGCUUUGUAUAUUUUU
This 108-nucleotide small nuclear RNA is filed under the name Nannospalax galili (Upper Galilee mountains blind mole rat). Lineage: Eukaryota; Metazoa; Chordata; Mammalia; Rodentia; Spalacidae. The record is from RNAcentral.